GGCCCGCUAGCUCAAUGGCAGAGCAGCUGACUCUUAAUCAGCGGGUUCGGGGUUCGAGUCCCUGGUGAGUCACCA
Molecule: transfer RNA, 75 nt
Filed under: Caldilineaceae bacterium
Lineage: Bacteria; Bacillati; Chloroflexota; Caldilineae; Caldilineales; Caldilineaceae
Description: tRNA-Lys
Rfam family: tRNA
About the family: Transfer RNA (tRNA) molecules are approximately 80 nucleotides in length.
Source: RNAcentral